CCCUUAGAUGUCCUGGGCCGCACGCGCGCUACACUGAGUGUCUGAGAUACGAGUCUGCCUGGUCCGGCAAGGUCUAGGUAAUCGCUAAAAGACACAUCAUGCUUGGGAUAGAUUAUUGCAAAUAUUAAUCUUGAACGAGGAAUUCCUAGUAAGCGCAAGUCAACAGCUUGCGUUGAUUACGUCCCUGCCCUUUGUACACACCGCCCGUCGCUACUACUGAUUGAAGUUUUCGGUGAAUUUACUGGAGAUCCCUUUUGAAGGUGGUUCGCCACUGGAAGAAGUAUUCAAAAGUAAAUGAAUCGAAUGCUUUAGAGGAAGGAGAAGUCGUAACA
RNAcentral lists this ribosomal RNA (332 nucleotides) under uncultured eukaryote. RNAcentral describes it as "partial 18S ribosomal RNA". It matches the Rfam family "Eukaryotic small subunit ribosomal RNA", at positions 1470 to 1796 of the family's 1831-position model. The record is from RNAcentral.